AGGACGAACGCUGGCGGCGUGCUUAACACAUGCAAGUCGAGCGGAAAGGCCCUUCGGGGUACUCGAGCGGCGAACGGGUGAGUAACACGUGAGUAAUCUGCCCCUAGCUCUGGGAUAGCUCCGGGAAACCGGGAUUAAUACCGGAUAUGACCACUUUAGACAUCUGCUGUGGUGGAAAGAAUUUCGGCUAGGGAUGAGCUCGCGGCCUAUCAGCUUGUUGGUGGGGUAACGCCUACCAAGGCGACGACGGGUAGCCGGCCUGAGAGGGCGACCGGCCACACUGGGACUGAGACACGGCCCAGACUCCUACGGGAGGCAGCAGUGGGGAAUAUUGCGCAAUGGGCGAAAGCCUGACGCAGCGACGCCGCGUGGGGGAUGAAGGCCUUCGGGUUGUAAACCCCUUUCAGCAGGGACGAAGCGAAAGUGACGGUACCUGCAGAAGAAGACGCCGGCUAACUACGUGCCAGCAGCCGC
This 474-nucleotide ribosomal RNA is filed under the name uncultured bacterium. RNAcentral describes it as "SSU rRNA". It matches the Rfam family "Bacterial small subunit ribosomal RNA", at positions 26 to 518 of the family's 1533-position model. The record is from RNAcentral.